AGUCUGCAUUGCUGAUAAGGGCAGGUACUAGUAACAAAGGAGGGUUAAGUGCUCCUUAUACAAAUUCAGAGGCAUAACAAAGACAUAUGCCCAAUGGAUAAACAUUCAUUGACUCGCGGAGAUGAGCCCCAAGAAGAGGUAAUCAUUCUUUCUACUAUAUUCCCUUAACACUUGGUCUAUCUCAAAUUUUGUAUGUGCAACCCAGAUGUAUGUAGCUCUAUUGCUGGCUAUGAGCCUUCUUAUUUUGUAGCCCCAGACCAUGUUAUUUUUCAUAUAACAGACUUAUGUAUGUUUUUAGAAAUAGCUAGGAAAAAACAUUCCAUUGAACAAUGGGUGGUGGUUGCUUAGGUAAUAAUUGGAAGGACAGCUUUUCACAAAGAAAAGAGCUUACUUCAUCUUUUUUUUCCCCCCAGGAGUAAUUACUCGAAAUAAGCAUUAUUUGAAGUCUUACUGAUUGAAGACUGGAGUAGUAGAUGCAAUGCUCUGGGCACUAGAGGAGGAAAGCUCCCGGGAGGGAGGAGGUAGUUUCCCUGGAGGAGCCUGCGACUCAGUCGGGGAGGAGGGCUGGGGGAGGAAAACAUAUCUCAGAAAGGAAAGCAGAACAUUUGCAAACACUUAAAAAAAAAAAAAAAAAAAAAAAGGGGGGGGGGGGGGGGGGAGGGGGCUGUGUUGAAUUCUGCAUUGAGUAGACAAAGAUAAAAUUUAAUUAUAAUGCUUUUGUAUCUAAUCCAUGUUUGAUAAAAGGAUUAAGGUCUAUGACUUAUUUUAUAAUUGGAGGGGUUAAUAAAUAAAAAGAAUUGGCAAAUGAGAUACCUGAUGUGAAAUCUUAAGAUGUACCUGUGAAAUAUAUUCUUCAUCAUUUUUUUAAAGUUUAUUUAUUUACUGAGAGAGAGAGAGAGAGAGAGAACAAAAGAACAGGCAGGGGAGGGGCAAAGAGAGAGAGAGAGAGAGGAUCCCAAGCAGGCUUUGUACUGUCAACACAGAGUCUGAUGCAGGGCUCAAUCUUGCAAACUGUAAGAUUAUGACUUGAGCUGAAAUCAAGAGUAGGAUACUUAACUGACUGAGCCAUCCAGGUGCCCCUCUUCUAUAUCAUUUAUAAUCAAGCUACAUCUUUUGCUUUGUUGGUUUAGAGUCGAAACACAGAAACACGAUUUGCUAAUUGUUCCUUUCUGCUAUAGACACUAAGGAGGUAUGCCCAUUUUAUUUGGGGUUUAGUAACAAAUGGAAAAUAGCAUCAUACAAAUCACAUACUUAGUUGCAAGAACAACAGGAAAAGGAAGAUGAACAAGACAUGUGGGGAGAACAAAAUGCUUAUUUAUUGUCACAGAAAGUUAAAGAAUUAAGAGGUGGGAUGUCAGCUGGGGAGCAUGAAAUUUUAGGCAAAGAAGUUCAGAUUUCCUACGCUAAGAAACAAAGUGAUGGUGCUUUAAAAUUUUUUUUCAUUGUUGGUUAUAAAAGUUUUUGAUAAUAAUAACUGUCUUCAAGGUUUACAUCUAUUCACUUAAACAUUAUGGCACUAUGGGGGAUCAAAAAUAAAUAAGAAAUAAUCCUUGCUCCUCCAUGACUCAUGGUCUACUAGAGAAGAAGUGAUGUUUAUAUAAAAAGCUGUAAUAGAAGGUAGACGGUUUUAAAUCCCAUGGCAGAAAAGCAGAUCAAGUUCCAGGGAUUCUGAUAUGAAGGAUUAUCUCCAGCUGUGAGGCAUCAAGAAAGGCUUCAUAGAGGAGGUGACUUGUGAGCUGAACACUAACAGAUCAGUAGCACUUCAAUAUAGGGAGAUGGAAAGACCAACAUCCUAGGAAGGAGAAACAGUGUAGCUAAAAUGUUGGUGGCAGAAAAGAGAGGUGUGUGUAUAGAGAAUAAAAAACAAUCCAGUUUUUCUGGUUCAUAAGAGCUCAUUUAGUAGAAAAAAAAAAAAGGUUGAAAACAUGAGUUGAGGUCAGAUUCUAGAGAGUCUGUCAGUUUUGAAUGAAGGCAGUUGAACUUUAUUUGGCAGAAAAUGAGGAGCUAUGGAUGGUAUUUUUGGGUACUUGAUAGAAGCCGAACAUAUGUUUUUCAAGUGGAACAGGUAUCAGAUGAUGGGAACUCUGCACACUCUGAAGUGCCUAACAUAGUGUUAGCAUGUAACAAACGUACAAUAUUUUAAAAUCGUCUAUAAGGGAAGCCGUCUAAGAAAGUUAUUGAGAAUGUCCAGCGUCUUAGAGGGAGCCAACGAGGGCUGGACCAGAUGCGGUCUGUUGGCACUCGGUAUUCCCAUCCACCCCUGUUCUGCACACUCUUACAUCACAGGGCUGGACGGCUAACAAGUGCACUUCUCAGGCUUCCUUCUGCUAGGGUUUGAAAUGCCUCGUGUGAGAUGUUGAAGGCGAAACGCAAGUGGAGGCCAUUUUUAUUUUUACAGCAGUCGUGGGUUCUGGCAGAAAUGAGUUUUCGCCGUGGACAGACUUCCGAUCCCACUGUCUAGUGACCAGCUUCAUGAACGUGGGGCAACUGUGAAAUCGGGAACAGUUCCUUGGUCUCAGGGUGUUGACAGUGACCUCCUAACCUCUGGUUCACAGCUACCUGGUUAGAACCUCCAAACCUAGCAGCAGCAUGAUCCUUCCACCUACCGGGGCCUCCUCCCUUGCAUUUCUACGGCUCUUCCAAUGAUUUUGUAGCAGCCAAUUCCAUGUGUCAAAGUCCUUUCGAAUUGACCUAAAAUGGACCUAAAAUGGGUCCUGUUUCCUGCAAUGAAACGGACAGGAGCAAGACGCAAGGAAACUUGCAUAGUAGAGGAAAAUAGCCAUUCAAGGACAACUCAUUAUGGGAUGGAAGAAAAGAAACUCAAGUCAGGGGCACCUGGGUGGCUCAGUCAGUUAAGCGUCUGACUCCUGAUUUUAGCUCAGGGAAUGAUCUCACAGUUCAUGAGAUCAAGCCCCACAUUGGGCUCUGUGCUGACGGCACACAGCCUGCUUAGGAUUCUCUCUCUCCCUUUCUGCCCCUUCCCCACUCGUGCUCUUGCUCGCUCUCUCAAAAUAAAUUAAAAACAUUAAAAUAAAUCUUAAAAAAAAUAAAGAAAUUCAAGUCAGAGAUCCUCUUGCACUACAGAGGGCAUCGAUGUGCCUUCCAGUCUCUGAGGGCAGGUCUUUGUUCUCAGUCCUCUCUUACAAAUGUCUCAAAAACACGCACUUUUCCCCAAUUACAAAAAUAAUGUAUGUUCGUUGUAAAACAAACUUGGGAAAUAUGGAAACUUAUAAAGAAAGAACUAAAAACCACCUGUAAUUACACUAGAGCUAUUUCUCGACUCUAUAGGGAUGAGGUUCAGCUAUGACCCUAUAGCCGUAGCUUAAGUAAAGUAGACAUAUAUGUCUUUCUCACAGAAACAAAUCAACUAGGGCAAGCAAUCCAGAGAUGGUAUGGUGGCUCCAUGACCACCGGGAACCCAAGCUUCUUUACCCUUGUACUUACACUCGUUAAAAUGCAUUCCCACUUAAUUGUCCAAGAGGAUUGCUCUCGCUCACCCUAUCAUAUCUGCAUUUCAGGCAGCAGGGAGGGAGAAAGAAGUUUAAGAGCCUGCUCUUUAAGGAGACCAUAUGUGACAUUUUGCUCACGUUCCUUUGUUCCCAAUCGCCACAUCCAUUUGAAGAUCAAGGUGUGAAAUGUAGUCUGUAUUCUGUACAGCUAUGUACUCAGCUAAAAAUGAUGGGAGUGGGGGUUGUUCGAGCCUAAGGAAGGAGGCAAGAAAGGACAUGGGAGGACAGUUAGCACUCUCAGUCACAUAACCCUAACUAUCUCUUCUCCCUCCUAUAAGCUCACGGUUUUCCUCUUCCUGACUUCUCAGGUCCCAACAUCACCCCCAUCCCUGGUGAUAAUCUUGGUGCUACUGCUGAUGUCAUUUUUUUGUCACUUUGCCCACUCCCCCUCCCUGGAUUAUUUUGCUUAGAGUACUUCCCUUAGCAUUAGUAACUUUACUUUUAAAAUUCUUUCUGGGACACCUGGUGGCUCAGGCGAUUAAGUGUCAUCCAACUCUUGAUUUCAGCUCAGGUCAUGAUCUCACAGUUUGUGAGGUUGAGUCUUGCAUCCGGCUCUGCACUGACAGUGCAGAGCCUGCUUGGGAUUCUCUCUCUCUGUCUCCCUCUCUCUGUCCCUCCCCCUACUCAAGCCCUCUCUCAGUCUCUCAAAUUAAAUAAAUAAGCUUUUAAAAAAACAAAACAAAAUACAAUUUUUUUCUCCAUCAGCUUAACCCUGACCAUCUGACCCUCCCCCUCUCAUCUUUUAGGACUCCUGAAAACGUAAUACACAAUCUGUGCCUCAGGCCAAACUUCUAUAAACCCUCUUGUAAAGUCACCUUGACCCGGUUUCUAGAUCCUUUUCCAGGAAGGGCUUCAGACUGUAUUGCCCUUCUCCUGACCCAUCAUUUUAUUUUGCCCUCUAAAAGCCCCUCUAAAAGUUCCUGACAACAUCUUCCUUGAAACUUCUUUCGACGAACCACAGCCCUUUGACACUUUGCACAAAGCUCCAACCAAUGUCCCUUCUGUGUCUUUCCAGGGCUACAAAUUAUUUUCUGUAGUAUAAACUGCAUCUCUUCUGAUUUGCAGCCAGUAUUCUUUCGGAGCCCUUUAGUCUGUGAGUUUUCCCCAACCAUCUUUUUCUCUUUGCAUUUUUUUUCCCUUUCACAUUAAAAACUGCUCAGGGAGUGGGGCCCUCUGACCUCAGAAAUAUACGAAAACAGAUACUUUAUUCAUGCAUUCUGUUGAUGAAGUUUCUCUCUUGGCUCCCUUUAGCCUGAGCAAGACUCAGCGAACAUCUUUCUGCAUCUUCUGGGACUGUCACGGCUCUUAUCUGCAACACUUUGGACUUCUCCAAACUUAAGGCUUUAAGAUGCAACUGUAGUCAAUCAACUUCCAUGCAACUCCCUAGAGAAAUGCCCUGGCUGUGCAAGCUCCCGCUGCCUAAAUAAGGUGAAGAUGCUUUUCCAAGGAAGUUGAGGAUUCUACCUCAGUGUAAUUCUGUGAGUGCAACAGGGCAAGGAAAGGAGACUCUUCUGGGCCUCCAGCAAUUACAAUAAUCUAGGUUAUGUUGCUGGAAACCCUCAACUCUUAGUGGCUUUAAACCAAAGAGGUCGAUUUCUUGUUCAUGCUACUUACCUCUUGUGGCAGGAGGAGGGGGGCUGGUGGAGAAGCUACCAUCGCAAAUACUGGUGGGUCCCCAUUCCAAACAGGAAAGAAAGCUCUGGAGCAUUUUGCAUCAGUAAUUCAAUACUCCAGCCUGGAAGAGACCCUUAUCACUUCUACUCAUUAGCUGGAACCACAUGGCCCUAUCCAACCACAAGGAGACCAGGAAGUGCAAUCCACCUUGUGCUUGAAAGGGCAGAGAACUGGAAAUCUUUAGAGAACAGCACUAAUCGUAUCUACAGAACCUAAGAAAAGUUGAGCCGAUUGUGAUAACUAACCUUCCUAGGCCACUGUUCGGCCCAGACUAACUUGAGGCAAUUGCAAUCCGGAUUUCUAAACCUUGUGUUUCAGUCAGAGGAAAGAACUUUCAACAUUUUGCUCCUAAUUACCCUGUAUCCCUCUCAAAUUGUUCCUACUUCGAGGUAAAAUGUUUUGAGAACCCUGGCGCAAAGUCCCAGGACUAUCUCCGCUUCCUCGCUAACAUCCUUGGCACUUGGGCUCUCCUUGAGCAUCCCCCCGACCCCCACCGCCAACCCAGCCUCCCCUGCCACCCUGAGAGCCGCUUGCAUGCAUCACUGUUUCAGUGGAUGGCAGCAAUACACAAGGGCACCUCAUUGUUGGAAAGGAACUGCCUUCUGCCUGCCAAGGACAAAUGCAGACACACAAAGCUGUAUCAAGCAAGACUUCACAUCAAAGGGAACCCUGCCUGGGCUUGCCAAGAGCAGGGCUGCUUCUGAGCCUCUCCCCUUAGCCUUGUUAGUAUUCUUAGGGCCCAAGGGGCCCCUGGUGCUCCUGGCAGGCCCCCUCAUUUACCCAGCACUCCUCUUCACUCUGACACCUGAAGCCCAGGCUCUCCCUGAAUUUGGCCUCGACCACUUGACAGAGCAGAAUGCCAAGUGUUUAACAACGUUGAGCGAUUAGGAAAGAAAAUUCAUGAGAAAUAUUUACUCUGUGAACUCCAUUUGAGUAGGAGAACAGAAUACUUCUUUGGUGCAACAACACAUAGAAAAUCAAAAAGUUCCUGCCUGAGGCCUCAGGGAAAAGAGCACCAGAAGGAAAGCUUACCUACUGACGAAGCAAGGAUGCUUUAGGAGCAGAGGUUGGGAACGCUGGAACCAAGGUUGAAAAUGGAGAUUGGCCAGUUGUAGGCAUUUAGACCUGGUGAGAAGUGGUGAACUAAAGAUCCAGACAAACUUUCUACCUUAAAAUCAACAUAAGAAUUCAGGUCCUGUUACUUUAAGGAAAAGAAAAGGUCUUUGUUUUAAAAGAACGAUGAGGGAAAAAUUGAAUAAGGGACUGAUAGCGACAGAGAAAGGGAUAAAAACUUUUAAUUUAGAAAACAGUUAAGGCCUUCUGUUCUGGGGGCUGAAGAACGCUUUUGGAAAGAGACAUUAAGUAUCAAAAUACAAUGGAAGUUUUAAAACACUGUAAAGUCACAUAUUAUGAGAGCUGGAAGGGGAACUUGGAGAUGGUCUUUUCCAAAUGAUUUCUUUGAGUUAAGAAAAUCUGAAACUCAGGGAUGUCAAGGGGCUUUUUCACAGUCACAUAGCUGGUUAGUUGCAAAGCUAUAGUCAGAGAUCUUGACUCUCAGGCUUGUAAGAGAGAGCAAUGCUUGGCAUGGCAUGUGAUCAGAGUACAUAGGUCUACAACUACAUCAGGUACAGUAUUUCUAACGCAGUGGCUUCAACCCUUUGACUAAGAACUUCCACUGUGGCCAACCCUACCACCCUGUUCCAACAGCUUCCCAGAAUAGUAGUAAUUAUAGCAAAAAAAAAAAUUAAAAAAUAAAAAAAAAUAAUGGAUAGAGCCCAGAGAAAAUGUCACAUUUCUAGAAGUGGGAGGAGGUGGAGAUAAUACAUUUACAUCAUUUCCAACUUUCAGAGCACUUCAUGUGACCAUGGGUCCAUGGAAAGAACUCAAGCAUUCCACGGUGGGGAAAAAAAGGUUACAUCUUUUAUUAACCUCCCACUGAAGGAAGCAUUUCCUUCAUUACAAAUGUAGGCAACAAACCACAACAGUAUUUGCACUACUUGUCUUUGUCACUCACAGAAGUAAUAAGUAUUCUCAUAUUAUAUUAAUUGUAGUGGAGAUCUUGAAAUAUCUUUACCCUCAUUACCACUCUGCAAUUAUGGUAGAUCUCCCACUAGAUCUUGUUAUUUAGUGUUUAAUAAGUGAGCACGUAUAUUACUAUGCCACAGAUUUUUAUAAAUAUUUUGAUAACAAAAUUUCAACAUCAGAUUCCUUUAUAAUUAUGUGUUUUAUUUUAUUCAGUUAAAGGUAUUAUUCUGAGAGGGCAUCUGUAGAUUUCACCUGGCUGUCAAAGGGGUAAUUGGCAUAAAGAUUAGCAACCCCUGACAUGUGAGGGGUAAACAAGUGUCAGGUUGCUGUUGGAUACCCAUGACACUUGGUCCCACAUCCCUGCUCCAUCGCCCUGUGGGCUCAGAGUGACAGGGAUGCUCACUUGUCAUUCUGGGUUGGAGAACUGCCAGUGCCUCCUGCCACAGCCCGUGUUUGUAAUUUCAGGGCACACCAGCCUUUGAAAGCUGGUAUGACUACAUUACAAAAUGUGACAGGAGAGACUCCAUUGUUGGCAUUAUUAUUAAAAUUAAGGCUGAUAGGGAUUUUGUGACAUUGAUUUUAAGAGGGUUGUGUUCACACGUCCCAUGGAAGUUGACUUUUCUCAGGGAAUUGGCACUCCAAGUUCUACUCAAAAGGAAACUAGUUUUUUCAAAGAUGGAUAAGCUGGUUUGGCAUGACAAAUAAAUACUUCAAGAGAAUAUCAAGGAACCAUUUUCCAUCUCUCAAAUAUGCAAAGAAUUUUUAAGAUGAUAAUUCUCAGGAUUGGCAGAGUGUAAUGAAAUGGGUAUUUUCGUUUUCGUAAAUUUCCCACAAGACCCAGAGUUGGCAUAACUUUUCUACAUGGUAGUUUAAGCCCUGUGUUUUAAGUAUUUUCACCCAGUAAUUUCACUUCUAGGAAUUUAUCCUAUGAAAAGAAUAUAAAGAUUUUCUUACAUAUAUUUUUAUGAAUAUCCUUGAGACAGUAAAAAAUCGGAAACAGGAAUGCCAACAAUGGGAGGUUGAAGUAAAUUAUGCUACAUCUACAUGACAACUUGUGACAACUUAAUGUAGCUAACUUAAAAAAAGAAAAAAAAAGUAGCCGUUCCGGGGCGCCUGGGUGGUUCAGUUGGUUAAGUGGCCGAUUCUGAUUUAGCUCAGGUCACGAUCUCACAGUUCAUGCAAUUGGGCCUGGCAUUGGGCUCUGUGCUGACAGUACAAGAAUCCCAAGCAGGCUUGGGAUUCUCUCCCUCCCUCGCUCUCUCCGCCCCUCCCCCGUUCUCCCUUUCAAGAUAAAUAACCAAACAUCUUUUAAAAAAACAAAAAUAGCCAUUCCAAGAAUAUGUGACGAUAUGGAAAAAUGUGUAAAUAUAAUGUUCGGCUUAAAAUGCAAGGCAUAAAACUGCAGGUGUAAGAUAAUCCUGUUUUUUAGUUGGAAAAACAUUCGUCGGAUUUCUUUGCAAUCUUACUUAUGUACAUAUGCCUGUAGAAUAUAUAGGUGUUUAGAAAAGCUAGCAGGGACUGUGUCUAAGUCUUAGUGUUGGCAGUCUUUGAAUAGCGAUAUUUUAAUUAUUUUUAUUUUCUUUUUAUACUUUUUUGUAUAAUGUAACAUUAGCUAAAGCUGUAAGAUAUUGUUUUUACAAGGACGUUUUGAAGAAGAUGAGCGGGUGCCACACGAGCUGAUCUGUGUUUGCAGUGCCUUCUUGUUGCUCCAGACAAAAGUUUGUUUUGCUGGUUGCUACUGAGUGUUAUUUUUCUCCUAACCUUUGCUCUCUUUCUCCACCAUUGGCUUCCAGAUGUCUGAUUGAACCAAGUUCGGGGCACUCGACUCAUGUCAUUCUUUCCUCUCGUUUGGACAGAAACUUCAGAAACGACACCCCGGCUGCCAAUCUGAUAGUCGGCACCCACAUGAAUGUCAAUCAGAAACCUCUUGGCAUAAUGAAAAAUAGUCCAAUCGGGAAUUUGAAGCUUUUGUAAACACAACAGAGGAUUGAGGUUAAAAUAGGGUGCGAAUCUGGGGAGGCAUCUGCCCCUCUGCUCUCUUCACCCUGGACUGCACCUGCGUAGCCGCACUUUGCGCUUGUCCAGGACCAGGAAGGGAGAUGAGAAAACAUCUUGUGGAAUCACUUCACCUUUCGCUGAUAUUUGGUUGAAAGGGAUACAGUUUUGACUUCCAGUGAUUAUUUAGCAUGUAGUAUAUAAAUCAGCUGGAAAAAAAAAUCUGGAGAGAUGAAGACGUGUUUUCUCCUGGUUUUACCUUGAAAGUGCGAAUUAUGAAGGUAGUUUUCCAUAUGUACAUGUUUAAGGUUCUACUAUUUUGUGGUGCCACUUAGAAUUUUGAAACCACUAGAGCCUAUUCCAUUCCUUCUCUCUUUCUUAAACUUGGAUCGAUCUUCUCCUGGGUGAAGUUUAAAAUAAUAAAAACCGAGAAAACCAUUUACUCAAUGCCUCCGGUUGCAUAGCAAUCUAAACAAACAAGCCCCUUUCCUCUGUUGAGAACUUCUAAUAAAACAAAUCACAAAG
This 9728-nucleotide long non-coding RNA is filed under the name Lynx pardinus (Iberian lynx). Lineage: Eukaryota; Metazoa; Chordata; Mammalia; Carnivora; Felidae. The record is from RNAcentral.